GCGUAAAGCGUGCGCAGGCGGUCUGCUAAGAGAGGUGUGAAAUCCCCGGGCUUAACCUGGGAACUGCGCUUCUAACUGGUAGGCUUGAGUGUGGCAGAGGGGGGUGGAAUUCCACGUGUAGCAGUGAAAUGCGUAGAGAUGUGGAGGAACACCGAUGGCGAAGGCAGCCCCCUGGGCUAACACUGACGCUCAUGCACGAAAGCGUGGGGAGUAAACAGGAUUAGAUACCCUGGUAGUCCACGCCCUAAACUAUGUCAACUGGUUGUCGGGGAAGCAAUUCCUUGGUAACGAAGCUAACGCGUGAAGUUGACCGCCUGGGGAGUACGGCCGCAAGGUUAAAACUCAAAGGAAUUGACGGGGACCCGCACAAGCGGUGGAUUAUGUGGACUAAUUCGAUGCAACGCGAAAAACCUUACCUACCCUUGACAUGCCAGGAAGCUCGCAGAGAUGUGAGGGUGCCCGAAAGGGAGCCGUAACACAGGUGCGGCAUGGCUGUCGUCAGCUCGUGUCGUGAGAUGUUGGGUUAAGUCCCGCAACGAGCGCAACCCUUGCCAUUAGUUGCUACAUUCAGUUGGGCACUCUAAUGGGACUGCCGGUGACAAACCGGAGGAAGGUGGGGAUGACGUCAAGUCCUCAUGGCCCUUAUGGGUAGGGCUUCACACGUAAUACAAUGGCAGGUACAGAGGGACGCCAACCCGCGAGGGGGAGCCAAUCCCAGAAAGCCUGUCGUAGUCCGGAUUGUAGUCUGCAACUCGACUACAUGAAGCUGGAAUCGCUAGUAAUCGCGGA
This 789-nucleotide ribosomal RNA is filed under the name uncultured beta proteobacterium. RNAcentral's name for it is "bacterial SSU rRNA". It matches the Rfam family "Bacterial small subunit ribosomal RNA", at positions 558 to 1348 of the family's 1533-position model. Lineage: Bacteria; Pseudomonadati; Pseudomonadota; Betaproteobacteria. The record is from RNAcentral.